UCGAGCUGGAGGAUCUGGGUCACCUCCCACCCGUGUUUAUUUUACCUUGUUGCUUCGGCGGGCCCGCCUUAACUGGCCGCCGGGGGGCUUACGCCCCCGGGCCCGCGCCCGCCGAAGACACCCUCGAACUCUGUCUGAAGAUUGUAGUCUGAGUGAAAAUAUAAAUUAUUUAAAACUUUCAACAACGGAUCUCUUGGUUCCGGCAUCGAUGAAGAACGCAGCGAAAUGCGAUACGUAAUGUGAAUUGCAAAUUCAGUGAAUCAUCGAGUCUUUGAACGCACAUUGCGCCCCCUGGUAUUCCGGGGGGCAUGCCUGUCCGAGCGUCAUUGCUGCCCUCAAGCACGGCUUGUGUGUUGGGCCCCGUCCUCCGAUCCCGGGGGACGGGCCCGAAAGGCAGCGGCGGCACCGCGUCCGGUCCUCGAGCGUAUGGGGCUUUGUCACCCGCUCUGUAGGCCCGGCCGGCGCUUGCCGAUCAACCCAAAUUUUUAUCCGGGUUGACCUCGGAUCAGG
Molecule: ribosomal RNA, 510 nt
Filed under: Penicillium chrysogenum
Lineage: Eukaryota; Fungi; Ascomycota; Eurotiomycetes; Eurotiales; Aspergillaceae
Description: eukaryotic LSU rRNA
Rfam family: 5.8S ribosomal RNA (bases 174-326)
Source: RNAcentral